This 54-nucleotide small nuclear RNA is filed under the name Loxodonta africana (African savanna elephant). The record is from RNAcentral. Lineage: Eukaryota; Metazoa; Chordata; Mammalia; Proboscidea; Elephantidae.
ACAUGGGCCCUGUGCAAGGAUGACAGGCAAAGUCGUGAAGUGUUCCAUAUUUUU